Long non-coding RNA from Manihot esculenta (cassava), 396 nucleotides. RefSeq lists it as uncharacterized. NCBI's taxonomy places the organism in Eukaryota, Viridiplantae, Streptophyta, Magnoliopsida, Malpighiales, Euphorbiaceae. The record is from RefSeq and is a predicted model, not a curated record. The transcript has 2 exons.
CAGCUAGGGUUUUGUUUGUUGCCUCGUUGCUUUAUAGUCUCUGAUAAUAGAAACCCUAUCUAGGCUUUUGCAGCGAGAAGGGUUCUUCCUGCCAGGUGCUGCAUUUCCACGGCUCUGCAAGGUAAGACAUGGUGAAACAUAACAAUGUUGUGCCUAAUGGGCACUUUAAAAAGCACUGGCAAAACUAUGUGAAGACAUGGUUUAACCAACCUGCUCGCAAAACAAGAAGACGCAUUGGUGAGAAACUUUUUCGUUGCGCUCCUUUCUGGCUCAAUUAACUAGAUAAAACUUUUCUGUGGGUAUCCUAUAAAUUUUGCCUAUGUUACACCUUUAUCAAUCUGAUAACUUCCUCCCAUUUCACUUCUACCACUAAAGAACAGUAAUUUCAAUUGGAAA